GACAGAGGCCUCGAGCGUUAGGCGGAAUCACUGGGCUUAAAGCGUGUGUAGGCGGGCCCGUAAGUGUCUUGUGAAAUCCCACGGCUCAACCGUGGAACUGCUGGGCAUACUGCGGGUCUUGGGCCAACUAGGGGCAGCCGGGACAAGCGGUGGAGCGGUGAAAUGCGUAGAUAUCGCUUGGAACGCCGAAGGUGAAAACAGGCUGCUGGGGUUGCGCCGACGCUGAGACACGAAAGCCAGGGGAGCAAACGGG
This 253-nucleotide ribosomal RNA is filed under the name uncultured bacterium. RNAcentral's name for it is "partial 16S ribosomal RNA". It matches the Rfam family "Bacterial small subunit ribosomal RNA", at positions 524 to 776 of the family's 1533-position model. The record is from RNAcentral.